Non-coding RNA from Danio rerio (zebrafish), 1062 nucleotides. The record is from RefSeq and is a predicted model, not a curated record. NCBI's taxonomy places the organism in Eukaryota, Metazoa, Chordata, Actinopteri, Cypriniformes, Danionidae.
AAAUUACAGAGUAAAUAAAAUAAUUGUGGACGCUGACAAUUAAAUACUGACUCAACAAAUGAAUUCACAAUAAUAAGCCCCAAACGAAAAAAAAAAUCCACAAUAUUAAUUUUAGCUGAUGGUCUGAAGUAAAAAUUAAAAAUAUGCAUUCACCAAACAUAAAACUGUGCUUUGGCAAUUUAUCAAACAGCAGUGAAAAUAGUGUUUGUGUUUGGCGAACAAACCUUGCCGCAAAAGCGCGUGUACGCAUGCGCGUGAGAGUCGUUUGUUGGAUCAGGUUUAAAUUCCAGCGCAGCAAUGGCAGAGCUCCUCCGAAACAUCAUAUUCAGGCGAUUUUCCUUCAUCAAAGUUAUGGGCCAUUGGAAAACCACACAGCUACAAUGAAGAUGGGAAUCCUUGAAACAGUUAGCAUCAGGAGCAUGAUGAAGUUUAAGAGCCCUGUCAACUGUGCUGAAUGUCUGCUGUCCUGGAAGAGGAGAUGGUGCUCGACAAUAGGAGGCUUUAUCAAUGCAUCGUUUGUGCUUUUGGAUUAUAGUAUCUACUCAACCUGGAAUACAAUGACUAAAUAGGUUUACAUGAAUGGUUGCUUCCACGAAUCCUGCAACUUCCACAUCUUCAGGUGAUUCUGAUGUAAAUCUGCUGUCCAGGAUCAGCUGGUUUGUCUUAGUCGGGCAUCUCCGCUGAGACCAGUCCACUAUGGGUGACCCUACCGGUAUCUGUGAAGUACCAGUGGCGAAGCUCUCAGCAUCACUGAUGCACACAAGCCCUCACAGCACGUCAAGCUGCAAACCACGUGAGGGACCCUAACCUAACCUACCCUAACCUAACAGACACCGCAAACCACUAAACGCAUCGAAACUCUCAGAAGAGUCCAGCGACCGACCAGCAACACGAAAACAACCGCUCAGAAAACCUCGACAACCGUGCAGAAAACCCCCUGAAACAUCCUGAAGACCACCGAGCAAACCAAGAACUUCAAGUCAACAACAUCAAGAAUCAAUAAAAACAACCAAUUGAUGAAACAAAACAUGCAAAAGGAAACUUACUGUGAACUUGCUCUAC